AGUGAACGCUGGCGGCAGGCCUAAUACAUGCAAGUCGAACGGCAGCACAGCAGAGCUUGCUCUGUGGGUGGCGAGUGGCGGACGGGUGAGGAAUACAUGGGAAUCUGCCCAGUCGUGGGGGAUAACGUAGGGAAACUUACGCUAAUACCGCAUGCGCCCUUCGGGGGAAAGCCGGGGACCUUCGGGCCUGGCGCGAUUGGAUGAGCCCAUGUCGGAUUAGCUAGUUGGCGGGGUAAUGGCCCACCAAGGCGACGAUCCGUAGCUGGUCUGAGAGGAUGAUCAGCCACACUGGAACUGAGACACGGUCCAGACUCCUACGGGAGGCAGCAGUAGGGGAAUAUUGGACAAUCCCGGGGGCAAGCCUGAUCCAGCCAUGCCGCGUGAGUGAAGAACGGCCCGUCGGGUUAGUAAAGCUUCUUUUGGUACCGGAAAAGAAAGCGCCGGGUUAAUACCCUAGUGUCCUGACGGUACCGGAAGAAUAAGCACCGGCUAACUUCGUGCCAGC
This 505-nucleotide ribosomal RNA is filed under the name uncultured bacterium. RNAcentral's name for it is "bacterial SSU rRNA". It matches the Rfam family "Bacterial small subunit ribosomal RNA", at positions 29 to 512 of the family's 1533-position model. The record is from RNAcentral.